This 253-nucleotide ribosomal RNA is filed under the name uncultured bacterium. RNAcentral's name for it is "partial 16S ribosomal RNA". It matches the Rfam family "Bacterial small subunit ribosomal RNA", at positions 524 to 776 of the family's 1533-position model. The record is from RNAcentral.
UACGUAGGGUGCGAGCGUUGUCCGGAAUUACUGGGCGUAAAGAGCUCGUAGGUGGUUUGUCGCGUUGUUCGUGAAAACUCACAACUUAACUGUGGGCGUGCGGGCGAUACGGGCAGACUGGAGUACUGCAGGGGAGACUGGAAUUCCUGGUGUAGCGGUGGAAUGCGCAGAUAUCAGGAGGAACACCGGUGGCGAAGGCGGGUCUCUGGGCAGUAACUGACGCUGAGGAGCGAAAGCGUGGGGAGCGAACAGG